AGGAAGAGAAGCUAAAGUAUUUGGAAUUUGUACAAGCGACUACAGAUAAUGCUGUAACUGCCCUCUCAAACAUUUACCUUUAUGCCAAGGACAAUUCUGGUCCGUUGAAGCCUGGGGUCGAGACUAUUGAGGGUGUGGCAAAGACCGUGGUUAUUCCGGCCAGUAAAAUUCCCACUGAAGCUAUCAAGUUUGCAGACAGAGCGGUGGAUGCAUCUUUCACUACUCUACAAAACAUUGUUCCCUCAGUUCUCAAGCAGUUGCCUACCCAAGCUUGCGAUACUAGUGUGAAGGAAAGUGCAGAGUAACAUGCGUUCGCUAACCUUCCCUCAAUUUAUGCGAUCACUACUAGGCGUGACCCUCAAUAAGCUGCCACUUGUUCGUCACAACGAAACUGUACGUAGAGAAUUGCCAAGGUGUUUGGAGAUGAGGCAUCAUAAUUUGCACUGGAUUUGAUUAUUUAUCUAUUGUGAGCCUUUUUAUAUGUACUUAUUCAGUGUUUAGA
Molecule: unclassified non-coding RNA, 502 nt
Filed under: Hevea brasiliensis (rubber tree)
Lineage: Eukaryota; Viridiplantae; Streptophyta; Magnoliopsida; Malpighiales; Euphorbiaceae
Source: RNAcentral